This is a long non-coding RNA of Grus americana (Whooping crane), 1303 nucleotides long. RefSeq lists it as uncharacterized. The transcript has 2 exons. The record is from RefSeq and is a predicted model, not a curated record. Lineage: Eukaryota; Metazoa; Chordata; Aves; Gruiformes; Gruidae.
GCUGCCCGGGGUCGCGCCGGCGGGGGCUGGGGUGGUGCCGGGCGGUGCUCAGCCCUGGCUUCCGCGGGCUCGGGCCUGCGGGGCCUCUCGCACCCGGCGCUAUCCUGGCCGGGCUGCACCCUGCUGCCUGCCCGCCGCGGCCGGCUCGGCUGGGUGAGCUGCGGGAAGCGCUGCGGCCCGCUGUGCCGGCCCCGGGAGGGAGCGCUGUGGGCCGGGGCGCCGGGCGCUACCGCCGGUCCUGCACCUUCCGCCAGGCGUGGAACCCGACCCCGGGCAGAACUUGCACACGCAGGGGCGGCGGAGACCUUUUACUGGCGCUUUUCUCGGCACUUCUCAGUCUCCAGUUAAUGCCAUAAACUACUCUAACUAGCACAAUUAAUUAGUAGAUUAGCUGUGUAUUUUUCAGUGCCUACUAAUUAUUUUUUUCGGUUUGGAUUGUUUGGAUCUACAGGUGGGAGCCAGUUGUGUUUCAGCAAAGGGUCCUGCAGCAAAUCAGCAGCGACAAGUGCAAGAUAAUGAAGAUGUCUCACUGUGCCAAACACAGGUUAAUUGAACUUCUGCAAAAAAGAUGAAUAAAUAGCAUUUGCACUCAUGUAUAGACUGGAAACUGGAAGAAGAGGAGUUACGAGCUACUUGACUCAUCUGAAUAGAAAUUGUAACCUGUGUUGAAGUCACAAGUCCAGUGUUCAGCUUCUGGAAGGUUGUAGGAGAAGCUUGCAGGAGGACAAGGUGAAUACUGAGUUAUGAAAGAACCUUGGUUAUGAUGAAAAAGUGAACUUUUUUUAUUUUGUCAGAGUUGAGGACUGAAACCUGAUAGGAGUCUCCAAAUAUGUACAAGUUUGCUGUGAAGAGGAAGACUUUUCCGUAAGCCUACCGGAAAGAGAACAGCAUCGUACCACGGGCGUGCAUGAUUGCAUAUUAAGAAGUACUGCAUACAGUUUCUGUACAAGAGAGAUUCAAGACAAGGAUUACAGGUAUGGGACAUAUUUCAGCAUGUAAAUAGAUACGUAUGCUGAAGUUUUAAGUUUUCUCAUCAUAUAGCUGGAUUUAAAUAGGGUAUGUCCCCCCCCUUUCCAUCGGUACCAAUUUUAUAUUGUACCAGAGAUGUGGAAAUUUAUUUGAUUUUCUAGAAACGAGACUUCAUUUUGUGUUUGAAGAUGAUGUUCUGUAUAAGAAAUUGGCUUGCUCUCUAACAAGACAAGACCUGUGGGAUUUGCAGCAGUGACCAAUCAGGUUGUGGUUCAUCCUUGUCUUUGUAGCUAAUGAACUUUGCUGUUAGAAUAAAUGCAGCAUGCCUGUCCCU